RNAcentral lists this non-coding RNA (98 nucleotides) under Streptomyces varsoviensis. Its description in RNAcentral is "Glycine sequence". It matches the Rfam family "Glycine riboswitch aptamer". From Rfam's summary of the family: This family represents the bacterial glycine riboswitch. Glycine riboswitches usually consist of two metabolite-binding aptamers domains with similar structures in tandem. The aptamers cooperatively bind glycine to regulate the expression of downstream genes. The record is from RNAcentral. Lineage: Bacteria; Bacillati; Actinomycetota; Actinomycetes; Kitasatosporales; Streptomycetaceae.
AGACCCUGUGCGGGAGAGUCCUCCGAAGGCUUCGUCGGAGGCGCCGAAGGAGCAAAUCCUCCCCGGAAUCUCUCAGGCACACGUACCGCACGGACGAG